UACAGAGGUCCCAAGCGUUAUCCGGAGUUACUGGGCGUAAAGGGCGUGUAGGUGGUUUCGUAAGUCUGGCGUGAAAUUUUUCGGCUUAACCGGGAAAGGUCGUCGGAUACUGCAGAACUAGAGGACGGUAGAGGCGUGUGGAAUUCCGGGUGUAGUGGUGAAAUGCGUAGAGAUCCGGAGGAACACCAGUGGCGAAGGCGACACGCUGGGCCGUACCUGACACUGAUGCGCGACAGCAUGGGGAGCAAACAGG
This 253-nucleotide ribosomal RNA is filed under the name uncultured bacterium. RNAcentral's name for it is "partial 16S ribosomal RNA". It matches the Rfam family "Bacterial small subunit ribosomal RNA", at positions 524 to 776 of the family's 1533-position model. The record is from RNAcentral.